AAAUCUCGUCUGAUCUCGGAAGCUAAGCAGGGUCUGGCCUGGUUAGUACUUGGAUGGAAAACCACCUGGGAAUACCAGGUAAAUGCAUUUU
RNAcentral lists this ribosomal RNA (91 nucleotides) under Sinocyclocheilus anshuiensis. Lineage: Eukaryota; Metazoa; Chordata; Actinopteri; Cypriniformes; Cyprinidae. The record is from RNAcentral.